RNAcentral lists this ribosomal RNA (251 nucleotides) under uncultured bacterium. RNAcentral's name for it is "partial 16S ribosomal RNA". It matches the Rfam family "Bacterial small subunit ribosomal RNA", at positions 524 to 776 of the family's 1533-position model. The record is from RNAcentral.
GACGGGGGGGGCAAGUGUUCUUCGGAAUGACUGGGCGUAAAGGGCACGUAGGCGGGGAAUCGGGGUGAAGGUGAAAGUCGCCAAAAACUGGCGGAAUGCUCUCGAAACCAAUUCACUUGAGUGAGACAGAGGAGAGUGGAAUUUCGUGUGUAGGGGUGAAAUCCGGAGAUCUACGAAGGAACGCCAAAAGCGAAGGCAGCUCUCUGGGUCCCUACCGACGCUGGGGUGCGAAAGCAUGGGGAGCGAACAGG